AAUAGAUACCCUGGUAGUCCACGCCGUAAACGAUGAGUGCUAAGUGUUAGAGGGUUUCCGCCCUUUAGUGCUGCAGCUAACGCAUUAAGCACUCCGCCUGGGGAGUACGGUCGCAAGACUGAAACUCAAAGGAAUUGACGGGGGCCCGCACAAGCGGUGGAGCAUGUGGUUUAAUUCGAAGCAACGCGAAGAACCUUACCAGGUCUUGACAUCCUCUGACAACUCUAGAGAUAGAGCGUUCCCCCUUCGGGGGGACAGAGUGACAGGUGGUGCAUGGUUGUCGUCAGCUCGUGUCGUGAGAUGUUGGGUUAAGUCCCGCAACGAGCGCAACCCUUGAUCUUAGUUGCCAGCAUUUAGUUGGGCACUCUAAGGUGACUGCCGGUGACAAACCGGAGGAAGGUGGGAUGACGUCAAAUCAUCAUCGCCCCUUAUGACCUGGGCUACACACGUGCUACAAUGGAUGGUACAAAGGGCUGCAAGACCGCGAGGUCAAGCCAAUCCCAUAAAACCAUUCUCAGUUCGGAUUGUGG
RNAcentral lists this ribosomal RNA (530 nucleotides) under uncultured bacterium. RNAcentral's name for it is "bacterial SSU rRNA". It matches the Rfam family "Bacterial small subunit ribosomal RNA", at positions 777 to 1303 of the family's 1533-position model. The record is from RNAcentral.